AGCUUUAUGCUAUUACUUAAAGUAACUCCUGCUCAAUGAACUUAAAUAGCCGCAGAAUUUUAUACUGUGCUAAGGUAGCAUAAUCACUUGUCUUUUAAUUAAAGAAUAGAAUGAACGGAAAAACGAAUUUUAGACUGUUUCAUUUUUACCCAAUAAACUUACCAAAAAGUAAAAACACUUUUCUCAAAAAAAAAGACGAUAAGACCCUAAAGAACUUCACUAAAGUUAAGCUGGGGCGGCUUAAUAAAAAAAUCUUAAUAAAUUUAUCCUAAACCCUAAAUUUAUUCCUCAAUGUUACCUUAGGGAUAACAGCAUAAUUCAAUUUUACAGCUCAUAUCUAAAAUUGAGAUUAUGACCUCGAUGUUGAAUUAAAUUUCUAUUAAACGAAAAAAAUUAACUAGAAAGUCUGUUCGACUUAUAAACCUUUACAUGAUUUGAGUUCAGACCGGUGAGAGCCAGGUCGGUUUCUAUCUUUUUUACAGAUGUACCAGUACGAAAGGACCAUACGACUUAUUA
This 516-nucleotide ribosomal RNA is filed under the name Dysdera andamanae. RNAcentral's name for it is "partial 16S ribosomal RNA". It matches the Rfam family "Bacterial large subunit ribosomal RNA", at positions 1817 to 2708 of the family's 2925-position model. Lineage: Eukaryota; Metazoa; Arthropoda; Arachnida; Araneae; Dysderidae. The record is from RNAcentral.